RNAcentral lists this ribosomal RNA (441 nucleotides) under uncultured bacterium. RNAcentral's name for it is "partial 16S ribosomal RNA". It matches the Rfam family "Bacterial small subunit ribosomal RNA", at positions 338 to 795 of the family's 1533-position model. The record is from RNAcentral.
CCUACGGGGGGCAGCAGUGGGGAAUAUUGGGCAAUGGGCGCAAGCCUGACCCAGCAACGCCGCGUGAAGGAAGAAGGCUUUCGGGUUAGACUUCUUUUCUCAGGGACGAAGCAAGUGACUGUACCUGAGGGAUAAGCCACGGCUAACUGCGUGCCAGCAGGCGCGGUAAGACGUAGGUGGCAAGCGUUAUCCGGGUUGACUGGGGGUAAAGGGCGUGUAGGCGGGAAAGCAAGUCAGAUGUGAAAACCACGGGCUCAACCGGUGGCCUGCAUUUGAAACUGUUUUUCUUGAGUACUGGAGAGGCAGACGGAAUUCCUAGUGUAGCGGUGAAAUGCGUAGAUAUUAGGAGGAACACCAGUGGCGAAGGCGGUCUGCUGGACAGCAACUGACGCUGAGGCGCGAAAGCGUGGGGAGCAAACAGGAUUAGAUACCCGAGUAGUC